This 2013-nucleotide ribosomal RNA is filed under the name human gut metagenome. RNAcentral's name for it is "bacterial LSU rRNA". It matches the Rfam family "Bacterial large subunit ribosomal RNA", at positions 1 to 1987 of the family's 2925-position model. The record is from RNAcentral.
UCAAGUGUCUUAAGGGCAUUUGGUGGAUGCCUUGGCAUGCACAGGCGAUGAAGGACGUGAUACGCUGCGAUAAGCGUCGGGGAGGUGCGAAUACCCUUUGAUCCGACGAUUUCCGAAUGGGGAAACCCACCUUAGAUAUCUAGAAAAUUUGAACUGUUGGAACGAUGAAGCACUGUUUUGGUUUGUUUCUCAAAAGGAGGCACCCAUACAGACCGCUAGGUCGUCGCGGCUUAUGCCGCGCCCUCCCGGAGCACAGCCCUGAAAGGGCGGUACGUGCGUGAGGGAAGAACACUUCAACUUUCUAGAUAUCAGAAUAAGGUAUCUAACUUUCGAAUACAUAGGGGUUAGAAGCGAACCCGGGGAACUGAAACAUCUAAGUACCCGGAGGAAAGGACAUCAAACGAGACUCCGUAAGUAGUGGCGAGCGAACGCGGACCAGGCCAGUGGCUUUUAUGAGACAAGUGGAACACCUUGGAAAGGGUGACCGAAGUGGGUGAUAGUCCCGUACACGUAAUGCGAAUAAAAGUCCUUGAGUAGGGCGGGACACGUGAAAUCCUGUCUGAACAUGGGGAGACCACUCUCCAAGCCUAAGUACUCGUGCAUGACCGAUAGCGAACCAGUACCGUGAGGGAAAGGUGAAAAGCACCCCGACAAGGGGAGUGAAAGAGAUCCUGAAACCGAAUGCCUACAAACAGUUGGAGCCCAAGAUUUGUUCUGGGUGACAGCGUACCUUUUGUAUAAUGGGUCAGCGACUUAGUCUGACGAGCAAGCUUAAACCGGUAGGUGUAGGCGCAGCGAAAGCGAGUCUGAACAGGGCGUUCAGUUCGUCGGAUUAGACCCGAAACCAAGUGAUCUAGCCAUGAGCAGGUUGAAGGUAAGGUAACACUUACUGGAGGACCGAACCCGCAUCUGUUGCAAUAGAUUGGGAUGACUUGUGGCUAGGGGUGAAAGGCCAAUCAAACUUGGAGAUAGCUGGUUCUCCGCGAAAUCUAUUUAGGUAGAGCGUCGAUCGAAUACCUUCGGGGGUAGAGCACUGGAUGGGCUAGGGGAUCUCACCGAUUUACCAAACCUAACCAAACUCCGAAUACCGAAGAGUACUAAUCGGCAGACACACGGCGGGUGCUAACGUCCGUCGUGAAGAGGGCAACAACCCUGACCACCAUCUAAGGUCCCUAAGUUAUGGCUAAGUGGGAAAGGAUGUGAGGAUCCCAAAACAACCAGGAUGUUGGCUUAGAAGCAGCCAUCAUUUAAAGAAAGCGUAACAGCUCACUGGUCUAAAUAAGGGUCUUUGCGCCGAAAAUGUACCGGGGCUAAAGCCAUACACCGAAGCUGUGGAUUCUUUGGAACCUUCGGGUUCCCGAGAGUGGUAGCGGAGCGUUCUGUAAGCCGUUGAAGAGAGACCCGUGAGGGCUCUUGGAGGUAUCAGAAGUGAGAAUGCUGACAUGAGUAACGAUAAAGGGAGUGAGAGACUCCCUCGCCGAAAGUCCAAGGGUUCCUGCUUAAAGUUAAUCUGAGCAGGGUUAGCCGGCCCCUAAGGCGAGGCCGAAAGGCGUAGUCGAUGGGAACCACGUUAAUAUUCGUGGGCCUGCGGGUAGUGACGGAUCGCGUAUGUUGUUCUUCCUUAUUGGAUUGGAAGGGCUUCGAAGCGGUUCCAGGAAAUAGCUCCCGCGUAUAGACCGUACCCUAAACCGACACUGGUGGACUGGUAGAGAAUACCAAGGCGCUUGAGAGAACUGCGUUGAAGGAACUCGGCAAAUUGCACGCGUAACUUCGGAAGAAGCGUGACCCUUAUGUACGCAAGUAUGUGAGGGUGGCACAGACCAGGGGGUAGCGACUGUUUACCAAAAACACAGGGCUCUGCGAAGUCGCAAGACGACGUAUAGGGUCUGACGCCUGCCCGGUGCUGGAAGGUUAAGAGGAGAGGUGCAAGCUUUGAAUCGAAGCCCCAGUAAACGGCGGCCGUAACUAUAACGGUCCUAAGGUAGCGAAAUUCCUUGUCGGGUAAGUUCCGAC